This 1024-nucleotide long non-coding RNA is filed under the name Zalophus californianus (California sea lion). Its description in RNAcentral is "lncRNA (ENSZCAG00015017653.1)". The record is from RNAcentral. Lineage: Eukaryota; Metazoa; Chordata; Mammalia; Carnivora; Otariidae.
UGAUCUGGGCUGGACCCAGGGGCACACCGGACCCAGCAUGUACAAAGAAUACUAACGUCCAGAGCCUAAUAAAACGAGUUUCCUGUUUCAGACUCUGCUUGUCUGUGCCCAUUCCGUCCUCCCAAUCUGAGCCCAGUAUCUCACAUAUUCGUCCCCUUAUUCCAUGCACCUUUUCCCACACGGAAGUCCCUCUGACUAUCUAACUUGAAUCCAAUCCGCUGUAGCUUCUCCUUCGCACGACUCAGUCCGUGCAGCUUGCAUUUUCCGUGGGCGGUUUCGGUGGGCCGACCCAACCCCAAAGCGGCCCUCCCUCCUCGGGAUGGUAGAACUUUGAUUCGCUCUGGCUCGAUACCCACGCGCGUGACUUUACGUGUACCCAAAGGUGGGCUGUGGGUUCCAAGCUGAGUCUCGUUUUGCAGAGAGGAAGGAGAGUGAGACAAAGCGGAGUGGGAAGCCCAAGAACCUGGGGUUCGGAGGAGAGGAGCAGCUCAGAACCCGGGAAGCCAACGGUGGAGAAAUCGGGCGGAGUAGAAAAAGACUGAGGGCUAGGGAAUCGAACGGAGGGAGAGGAUUGGACGCCGGGAUUCGAGGGGGCGGGGAUAGAACGCAGAGGGUUGGAAGGGGGCGGGGAUAAAACCAGAGGCUCUAAUACCCGGCAAGGCACGCGCGAGGCAGAAAUCCGGGUGCCUGGAUGUUGGAUAAUCGGGGGCGACCAGGAGCUCCGGAGGCCCGACGACCAAGUCGCGGACUCGUCGCCCUGGGAUUGGACAUAUGCAAGUGGGAGACUUGGGUCUGGCGCUCUAAAUCGAGGGUGGGGGAAAUCGAGGGUGGGGGGUGUGCUCGGGCUUGGUCGCCAGGAUCGGAUCGGCGGACCUCUGACUCAGCGUGACCCCGCAACUCAACCCUGGACCUGUUUCCCGCCCCCAACCCUGAAUCUUGAAAGUCCUUCAUGGGGAGGGGCGCCCUGCCUUGCACCUCGUUCUCAGCAGAACAGCAAAAGGAAUUAACGCGAGUUGUCCCUCCU